CCCCCCCUGCUCCUUCCUGCUCCCUAUUGCUGGCGCCAUCAACCUCCCAUGGACGACGCCCUCAUUGUGUUCGAUCAAAUGGGCAUAAAAACCUCUUGAGAGAUGGAGAUGCAGGUUGCCCCCAUUAUUCUAUCGUAGGUAGUAGGUCCUUAUCAUUUGUUCUUUUAAAUAAGCAGUGUGCAAGAUGGUAUGCAAUUUGUAAAUAUUAGGGGAUCAAAUGCAGCUGCUAGGAAUGGCGAAUUUAUAUUUAUUUUGUACUCAUCAGCUUUCUAAAUUGCAGAUAUUGAUGGUCCAAAAUGUAUAUAUUAAUCUGAUUUGAUUGAUUA
Long non-coding RNA from Panicum hallii, 326 nucleotides. RefSeq lists it as uncharacterized. NCBI's taxonomy places the organism in Eukaryota, Viridiplantae, Streptophyta, Magnoliopsida, Poales, Poaceae. The transcript has 2 exons. The record is from RefSeq and is a predicted model, not a curated record.